Molecule: long non-coding RNA, 317 nt
Filed under: Mustela putorius furo (domestic ferret)
Lineage: Eukaryota; Metazoa; Chordata; Mammalia; Carnivora; Mustelidae
Description: lncRNA (ENSMPUG00000025019.1)
Source: RNAcentral
CCUUUUAGAUGCAGCAGAAGCACCUUAGUACUUGCCUUUUGCACAGGCACGGCUUUCUUCUUGGAGAAGGAAAAAAGGCCAUUUUCACAGUGAAACUUGCUUUAUUCGUCGUAAGAAUAACGGGUCUGGCCACGAGGAAAGCACGAGGAAGCCCUUCCAGAAGGAGCAGAAACAGAUGUACCUAACAAGAGCUGCCUCACGAGCCUUCCAAGCAUCACAUCCCACCUUGCUGUUGGGUCGAUGGGAGUUUUGAGGUAGGAGAGAGACGUGCCGGCGCCUCGCCGGCUGUGUGACACGGGAUGAAUGAAUGAAUGCUG